Oncorhynchus nerka (sockeye salmon) is the source of this 1063-nucleotide long non-coding RNA. RefSeq lists it as uncharacterized. NCBI's taxonomy places the organism in Eukaryota, Metazoa, Chordata, Actinopteri, Salmoniformes, Salmonidae. The transcript is spliced from 2 exons. The record is from RefSeq and is a predicted model, not a curated record.
AAAACUACCAUCAUCAUCACCACACACACACACACACACACACACACACACACACACACACACACACACACACACACACACACGAAGGCAGGCAUGCACACAUGCACACACCACCCCCCACAGGCACACACAGUGUGGCAAUUAACUUUUUCUGGCUGGGGGCAGUAUUGAGUAGUUUGGAUGAAUAAGGUGCCCAGAGUAAAAUGCCGGCUACUCAGUCCCAGUUGCUAAUAUAUGCAUAGUAUUAGUAUAUUUGGAUAGAAAACACUCUGAAGUUUCUAAAACUGUUUGAAUGAUGUCUGUGAGUAUAACAGAACUCAUAUGGCAGGCAAAACCUGAGAAAAAAAUCCAAUCAGGAAGUGGGAAAUCUGAGGUUGGUCGUUUUUCAACUCAUUCCCUAUUGAAGAUACAGUGGGAUAUUGGUCGUGUUGCGGGGAAUGAGUCAGAGGUCUGCCAAAAUGCCUUGAGCUCGUAACGCUUGUUCAUGUGAGAGUCGGCUUGAGUUCCAUUGCAAUUUCUGAGGACAAAGGAAUUCUCCGUGAACGCGCUUCGUGAGUUUGGAUUUAUUUACCAAAGGAGCUAUUUGGACAUAAAUUAUGGACAUUAUCGAUUAAAACAAACAUUUAUUGUGGAACUGGGAUUCCUAGGAGUGCAUUCUGAUGAAGAUCAUCAAAGGUAAGUGGUCUGUUAUACUCACAGACAUAAUUCAAACAGUUUUAGAAACUUCAGAGUGUUUUCUAUCCAAUAGUAAUAAUAAUAUGCAUAUAUUAGCAUCUGUGACAGAGUAGGAGGCAGUUUACUAUAGGCACGCAAUUCAUCCAAAGUGAAAAUGCUGCCCCCUAUCCCUAAAAAGUUAACAAGAAGUGUAUCUUUAAAAUGGUUUGAAAUACUUGUAUGUCUGAGGAAUUUUAAUUAUGAGAUUUCUGUUGUUUUGAAUUGGCGCCCUGCACUUUCACUGGCUGUUGUCAUAUCGAUCCCGUUACCGGGAUCUCAGCCCUAAGAAGUUUUAAUGUAUGGUGUAAGUCAAUGGCGUAAAUAAAAGACCAAAGGCUGUCAAUCUACA